UACGUAGGGUGCGAGCGUUAAUCGGAAUUACUGGGCGUAAAGCGUGCGCAGGCGGCUUUGCAAGACAGAUGUGAAAUCCCCGGGCUCAACCUGGGAACUGCAUUUGUGACUGCAAGGCUAGAGUACGGCAGAGGGGGAUGGAAUUCCGCGUGUAGAAGUGAAAUGCGUAGAUAUGCGGAGGAACACCAAUGGCGAAGGCAAUCCCCUGGGCCUGUACUGACGCUCAUGCACGAAAGCGUGGGGAGCAAACAGG
Molecule: ribosomal RNA, 253 nt
Filed under: uncultured bacterium
Lineage: Bacteria
Description: partial 16S ribosomal RNA
Rfam family: Bacterial small subunit ribosomal RNA
Source: RNAcentral